GGGCUUGACAUCCCACGAACCUGAAAGGGAAGGGAUCCCGCAAGGGAAGCCGGCACAGGUGGUGCAUGGCUGUCGUCAGCUCGUGUCGUGAGAUGUUGGGUUAAGUCCCGCAACGAGCGCAACCCUCACCCUCUGUUACCAGCGGGUUAUGCCGGGCACUCCGAGGGAGCUGCCCCGGUCAACGGGGAGGAAGGCGGGGACGACGUCAAGUCAUCAUGCCCCUUACGUCCUGGGCUACACACGUGCUACAAUGGCCGGUACAGAGGGCUGCAAACCCGCGAGGGGGAGCUAAUCCCACAAAGCCGGCCUAAGUUCAGAUUGCAGGCUGCAAUUCGCCUGCAUGAAGGAGGAAUCGCUAGUAAUCGCGCAUCAGCACGGCGCGGUGAAUACGUUCCCGGGCCUUGUACACACCGCCCGUCACACCACGAAAGUCGGCUGUACUCGAAGUCGCUGAG
This 455-nucleotide ribosomal RNA is filed under the name uncultured bacterium. Its description in RNAcentral is "bacterial SSU rRNA". It matches the Rfam family "Bacterial small subunit ribosomal RNA", at positions 977 to 1434 of the family's 1533-position model. The record is from RNAcentral.